UCAAUCAACAAAGAGUAUAUGGUGGAGAUCUAGGGACCUAGAGCCGAUGAAGGGCGUGAUAACCGACGAUAUGCUUCGGGGAGCAGGACGUAUGCUUUGAUCCGAAGAUUCCCGAAUAGGGCAACCUUAAACAUUCCUUCUUGAAUUCAUAGAGAAGAGAAAGACAACCCAGUGAACUGAAACAUCUUAGUAGCUGGAGGAAAAGAAAGCAAAAGCGAUUCCCAAAGUAGCGGCGAGCGGAAUGGGACCAGUCUAAAAGAAAAAUUUAUUUUUCUGGUUAUAGGACCAAACACUAAGGUAUAGAAAUUCUUGAGAAACGAAGCAGCUGAAUCCUGCGCCAUAGAUGGUGAAAGCCCAGUCGUUGAAUCUUGACUCAAUGCCGUUUGGCUCCCAAGUAGUAUGGGGCACGUGAAAUCCCGUAUGAAUUCGCCAGGACCACCUGGUAAGACUAAAUACUCCUAGGUCACCGAUAGCGAAAAGUACCGCGAGGGAAAGAUGAAAAGAACCCCUUUUCGGGGAGUGAAAUAGAACAUGAAACCGUAUACUUACAAUUGGUAGGAGGAUGAACACAUCUGACUGCAUGCCUGUUGAAGAAUGAUCUGGCGACUUACGGUAAGUGGCAUGGUUAAGAUUUUUCAUCGAAGCCAAAGCGAAAGCAUGUCUUAAUAGGGCACUCGUCCCUUAUCGUAGACCCGAACCCAGGUGAUCUAACCAUGACCAGAAUGAAGCUUUGGUGAUACGAAGUGGAGGUUCGAACCGACCGAUGUUGAAAAAUCGACGGAUGAGUUGUGGUUAGGGGUGAAAUGCCAAUCGAACUUGGAGCUAGCUGGUUCUCCUCGAAAUGCGUUGAGGCGCAGCGGUUAUUUAUGAACUCUCAGGGGGUAAAGCUCUGUUUCGGUGCGGGCUGCGAAAGCGGUACCAAUCUGUUGCAAACUCGGAAUACCUGAGAUGAUUUCAAAUAGCCAGUGAGACUAUGGGGGACAAGCUUCAUAGUCAAAAGGGAAACAGCCCAGACCAUCAGCUAAGGCUCCUAAAUAAAAGCUAAGUGGUAAAGGAGGUGAAAAUGCUGUGACAAUCAGGAGGUUUGCCUAGAAGCAGCCACCCUCUAAGGAGUGCGUAAUAGCUCACUGAUCAAGCGUUUUUGCGCCGAAAAUUUCCGGAACUAAGUUUUUUGCCGAAGCUAUGGAUAUAUUAUCUACAUAAUAUGUGGUAGAGGAGCGUUCCGCCCAGGGAGAAGCCAAGCGCGUAAGCCGCGGUGGACAGGGCGGAAGUGAGAAUGUCAGAUUGAGUAACGAAAACACUAGUGAGAAUCUAGUGCCCCGAAAACGUAAGGGUUCCUCUGCAAGGCUCGUCCUCAGAGGGUCAGUCAGGACCUAAGGUGAGGCCGAAAGGCGUAAUCGAUGGAAAGAAGGCUUAUAUUCCUUCACCGUUAUUUUAUUAGUCCUGAGGGACGAACAAAUGAAGCGAAAGAAAUUUGCCACCUUGGCAGGUGGGACAACAAAUUCCUUCUCUCUCCAUUUUUUCCAAGAAAAGCUCAUCGACUUUGAUAAAAUAGCGCCUGUACCGUAAACCGACACAGGUACGUGGGUUGAAUAAACUAAGGGGAGCGAGAUAACUCUCUCUAAGGAACUCGGCAAAUUGGCUCUGUACCUUCGGAAGAAAGAGUGCCCUGCAUAAGGGCCGCAGUGAAGAGAUCCAGGCGACUGUUUACCAAAAACACAGGUCUCCGCAAAGUCGUAAGACGAUGUAUGGGGGCUGACACCUGCCCAGUGCCGGAAGGUUAAGGAAGCUUGUUAGUCUUUGGACGAAGCUCGCGACCGAAGCCCCGGUGAACGGCGGCCGUAACUAUAACGGUCCUAAGGUAGCGAAAUUCCUUGUCGGGUAAGUUCCGACCCGCACGAAAGG
RNAcentral lists this ribosomal RNA (1905 nucleotides) under marine metagenome. Its description in RNAcentral is "bacterial LSU rRNA". It matches the Rfam family "Bacterial large subunit ribosomal RNA", at positions 3 to 1999 of the family's 2925-position model. The record is from RNAcentral.